CCCUUAGAUGUCCUGGGCCGCACGCGCGCUACACUGACAUGUUCAACAAGCCUCCUAGUUCGACAGGAUUUGGGAAAUCUUUGAACGCAUGUCGUGAUAGGGAUAGAUCAUUGCAAUUAUUGAUCUUGAACGAGGAAUUCCUAGUAAACGCGAGUCAUCAGCUCGCAUUGAUUACGUCCCUGCCCUUUGUACACACCGCCCGUCACACCUACCGAUUGAAUGUUUCGGUGAAGAUUCCGGAUAGGACUUUUUUGAUUUAUUUCAAUUUUGUCUUAAAAGCUAUCUAAACCUCAACAUUUAGAGGAAGGUGAAGUCGUAACA
This 321-nucleotide ribosomal RNA is filed under the name uncultured eukaryote. RNAcentral's name for it is "partial 18S ribosomal RNA". It matches the Rfam family "Eukaryotic small subunit ribosomal RNA", at positions 1470 to 1796 of the family's 1831-position model. The record is from RNAcentral.